GCCAUGGGGGACAUGGCCAUGGCCAUCCUCCAGGUCCUUGUGGGCCACCCCCUGGUCAUGGCCCAGGGCCCUGUGGCCCACCCCCUGGCCAUGGCCCAGGGCCUUGUGGGCCUCGCCCUGGCCAUGGCCCAGGGCACCCACACCCUGGUCCACAUCACUGAGGAAGUAGACUAAAACAGGACACAAGAUGGCAAGCCUGAGAGAACUUCCCAGCUGACCUGGAAGAAGACCUGAACCAGAAUCUUCUUUUCCUAAUAAACAGCCUCCUAGAGGCCAUGUUCUAUUCUUAAAA
Molecule: long non-coding RNA, 292 nt
Organism: Cebus imitator (Panamanian white-faced capuchin)
Lineage: Eukaryota; Metazoa; Chordata; Mammalia; Primates; Cebidae
Exons: 2
Source: RefSeq, a predicted model, not a curated record